This 337-nucleotide unclassified non-coding RNA is filed under the name soil metagenome. RNAcentral's name for it is "partial contains 5.8S ribosomal RNA, internal transcribed spacer 2, and large subunit ribosomal RNA". The stretch from base 1 to 120 matches the Rfam family "5.8S ribosomal RNA", at positions 35 to 154 of the family's 154-position model. The record is from RNAcentral.
GAUGAAGAACGCAGUGAAAUGCGAUACGUAAUGUGAAUUGCAGAAUUCAGUGAAUCAUCGAGUCUUUGAACGCACAUUGCGCCCCCUGGUAUUCCGGGGGGCAUGCCUGUCCGAGCGUCAUUGCUGCCCUCAAGCACGGCUUGUGUGUUGGGCCUCCGUCCUCCUCCCGGGGGACGGGCCCGAAAGGCAGCGGCGGCACCGCGUCCGGUCCUCGAGCGUAUGGGGCUUCGUCACCCGCUCUUGUAGGCCCGGCCGCUUGAACCCCCCCACAUCCUACGGUUGACCUCGGAUCAGGUAGGGAUACCCGCUGAACUUAAGCAUAUCAAUAAGCGGAGGA